CUCGAGAUGAACUCCCAAAUCCCUAACCCUAACUUUGAAGAUUCUUCAACUGUGAUGAUUAAUGGCAAAGGAGAUCAAUCAGAGCUCGAGAUUACUGGUCAUGGAGGUUCCGAUUUGGACAUGGUAGAUGUAGCGAAUGGAGAUAGAGAAUCAAAUCCCCUGAUGCAUCAAAUCCCUGCUAUUGGAAUGAAUGAAAGUGCAACAAAUCAGGUGACUUCAUUGGAUGCAAGCUUAAGGAAGGGACCGUAAGGAAUGCUGAAUAAGGAGAAAGCCUGGCUUUAUUGGAGGCAGUUCAAUGGGCACAGGAAAAAGAAUUGGUGAAAGUUUGCUUUAUUAGUGAUGUUAAAUUAGUGAUUGAGUCCCUGAACUCAAAUUCCAACCAGUUAUUCUGGUAUAAUAAAACAGUCAUGGAUGACUGUAAAACUUUUCUUUCUAGUUUUCAAUUUUCUCAAUUUAAUUUCUUAAAACGACAUCACAUUAUUCUAGCUGAUCAAGCAUCCAAGUUUUGUAAGAGGUCUAGAACCUCAGGGGAAUGGUGGGGAAAUGUCUCAGCUUUCCUUAAUCCUCCAAUGUAAUAGUACCUCUUUUUAAUGAAAAUUUUCUUAGAAAAAAUAAAAAAAAAUUAUGUCGUCUUUUGUAUGAA
Long non-coding RNA from Papaver somniferum (opium poppy), 643 nucleotides. RefSeq lists it as uncharacterized. NCBI's taxonomy places the organism in Eukaryota, Viridiplantae, Streptophyta, Magnoliopsida, Ranunculales, Papaveraceae. The transcript is spliced from 2 exons. The record is from RefSeq and is a predicted model, not a curated record.